Molecule: long non-coding RNA, 866 nt
Organism: Bos taurus (domestic cattle)
Lineage: Eukaryota; Metazoa; Chordata; Mammalia; Artiodactyla; Bovidae
Source: Ensembl
GAACUUGCAAACAGAGGGCUUUUCCCCUGGAGGGGCCUGGUUAAGCCUAGUGCAGGAAUAAGGGGGGCGAGUCCCAGAUUUCUGGAUUAUCAAAUCUCCUGGUCCCAAGCAGAAUCCACGGGGUGCUGAGGGCCUCCAACUCUCAUGAUCUCACAUUGCCAACAAGCCUUUGAGGGGCUCAGGGGACACACCGACCUCUAUUCUCAUGGCCUCCUCUAAUCCUCCCUGAUUGUGCACCAAGCAUGAAUGGAACGCUAUCAGUGAUAUUAGCUUGGGAACAGCUCCAAAAACUUGUUGUUGAGUGAAUGAACGGAUGGAGAAAGGAAUCUGUCGUGCAUUAAACUCUCAGGCCUCCGCUGAGGUUCAUCAUUUGUUGUUGCUUAGUCACGAAGUCGUGUCCGACUCUGCGACCCCAUGGACUAUAACCUGCCGGGCUCCUCCGUCCAUGGACUUCUCCAGACAACAAUACUGGAGUGGGUUGCUGUUUUCUCUUUCCGGGGAUCUUCCCAACCCAGAGAUUGAACCUGUGUCUUCUACAUGGGCAGACAGAGUCUUUACCUCGGAGCCACCGGGAAGCUUCCUCUGGGGCUAAUGGCAUGAAAAAGCAUCCUGAAGAUGCAAAUUUCAAAGAGGGCCAAGUUCCUGCCCUUGAGCGGAACUGAAAGAACCUGACAGGCCACUCCCAACUGGCCUUCCACACCCUCCUGAGCUCCCUGGGGUCAGACUCCCCUUCCACGGGACAGCAGCUGCUAAGGAAACUGCAAAGAACCAGUGCCACCUCUCCAGAACAGUCCACCCCUCCUCCCAGCCUCCUCCUCUGGCUCAGCUCCACUGCCUGGUAGGGGAGAGGGACUGCAGCCUGGGGG